ACCUCUGAUCAGGUAG
RNAcentral lists this ribosomal RNA (16 nucleotides) under Podosphaera girardiniae. RNAcentral describes it as "partial 28S ribosomal RNA". The record is from RNAcentral. Lineage: Eukaryota; Fungi; Ascomycota; Leotiomycetes; Helotiales; Erysiphaceae.